UACGUAGGGGGCAAGCGUUGUCCGGAAUCAUUGGGCGUAAAGCGCGUGUAGGCGGCCACGUUAGUCCGCUCUGAAAGCCCGGGGCUCAACCCCGGGAGGCGGGUGGAUACUGCGUGGCUCGAGUCCGGAAGAGGCGAGUGGAAUUCCUGGUGUAGCGGUGAAAUGCGCAGAUAUCAGGGGGAACACCAAUGGCGAAGGCAGCUCGCUGGGACGUGACUGACGCUGAGACGCGAAAGCGUGGGGAGCAAACAGG
RNAcentral lists this ribosomal RNA (253 nucleotides) under uncultured bacterium. RNAcentral's name for it is "partial 16S ribosomal RNA". It matches the Rfam family "Bacterial small subunit ribosomal RNA", at positions 524 to 776 of the family's 1533-position model. The record is from RNAcentral.